AAUGAACGCUGGCGGCAGGCCUAAACAUGCAAGUCGAACGCUGUAGCAAUACAGAGUGGCGCACGGGUGAGUAACAUGUGGGAAUAUGCCUUUUGGUACGGAACAACGUUUGGAAACGAACGCUAAUGCCGUAUGGUCCCUUCGGGGUAAAGAUUUAUCGCCAAAAGAUUAGCCCGCACUGGAUUAGCUAGUUGGUAGGGUAAUGGCCUACCAAGGCGACGAUCCAUAGCUGGCUGAGAGGACGAUCAGCCACACUGGGACUGAGACACGGCCCAGACUCCUACGGGAGGCAGCAGUUAGGAAUAUUGGACAAUGGGCGCAAGCCUGAUCCAGCCAUGCCGCGUGAGUGAUG
RNAcentral lists this ribosomal RNA (352 nucleotides) under uncultured bacterium. Its description in RNAcentral is "bacterial SSU rRNA". It matches the Rfam family "Bacterial small subunit ribosomal RNA", at positions 29 to 410 of the family's 1533-position model. The record is from RNAcentral.